UCUCCUGCCUCAGCCUCCCGAGUAGCUGGGACUACAGGCGCCUGCCCCCACGCCCGGCUAAUUUUUUGUAUUUUUAGUAGAGACGGGGUUUCACCGCGUUAGCCAGGAUGGUCCCGAUCUCCUGACAUUGUGAUCCACCCGCCUCGGCCUCCCAAAGUGCUGGGAUUACGGGCAUGAGCCACCGCGCCUGGCCCACCACAGUUUUAAUUCUGAAGAUGCAGUAUUAAGAGAGGAGGCUAAAGAAGCACACACUUGCUUAAUUUUUCCUUCGUUAUAUGCUGGGGAUGGCAGCAGCAGCUUGUGGCUGAGUUUCGGUGUUCUGCCUGACGGGUGACAGCUGAGCAGGCACUAGGUCCUUGCAAAACGCAGGAUGCUGGGGAGGGUCUUCACCUUGCAUGGUGUCCUGUCCCACACUGCUCCUCAGGUUGGGAGUGGUGGGGAGUUACUGUUUAAUGUGUACAGAAUUUCUCUUUGGGAUGACAAAAAUGUCUGGAAAUGGAUGGUGGUGAUGGUCGUAGAGCUUUACAGAUUUACUUAAUGCCACUGAAUUAUACACUUCAAAUGAUUAAAAUGGUAAAUUUUAUUUAUCUUUUGCCACAAUUUUUUUUAAAACCUCAGUAAAUAAAAUGCAACUUAAGGCUUCUGCUUUUUGCUUUUCAGUAAAGGAAACUAUUUUUUUUUUUAAGUCUGUCCCUUUUAAGCCUUUUACAUUCCUCAAGUAAGGCUUACCCCCAGAAUGGGGGUCAGGGAUCGGUGCCGAUGGGGCUAGAGCACCACCAUCAUUGCUACUGCUAAUGACAAUGGUGAUAGCAACAACAGCCGUGAUUGACUGCUCACUGUGCUAGCAGCUGUACCACAUGGUCCCAUCUGUUCUUCACACAGCCCCAGGGGCAGGUACGCUCAUGGGAACAUAGCACAGGGUAGUUAACGGACUCAUCCAAGGUCAUGCAGCUGGGAGUGGCAGCACCAGGAUCCCUCCAGAACCAGAGCUCUUUCUCACCACCCACGUCAGUGCCAGCAAAGCCUCCCAAACUCCUCCAAAGCCACCUCGAUAACAGGAGAGAGGUGUCCUUCACCAAGCCCGAGAGGGAGACUGCCAGGUGCCUGUGGAAUAAGCCCUCUGGUCCAGAUGAGGACUAGCAAGAGGAAGGGCUGUUUGCCUUCUUUAAAAAGAUUACAAUAAUGACCGGUGUUUAUUAAACACAUACUAUGUUCUACAAUAGCGUUCUCCAGGCUGACGUCACCUAUAGAUCUCUAGCCCCACAGAUGCUCCACUGAAAAAUAGUUUCAUAGCUGGGCACAGUUGUGUGCACCUGCAGUCCCAGUUACUUGGGAGGCUGAGGUGGGAGGAUCACCUGAGCCUGAGAAGUCAAGGCUGCAGUGAGCUGUGAUCACACCACUGCACUCCAGCCUGGGUGGCAAGAGUGAGACCCUGCCUCGUAAAUAAAUAAAUAAAUAAAUAAAUAAAUAAGAAAAAUAGUCUCACAGCCAAGUAAGUUUGGGAAGGGCCUCCUAGAGGAUUUGAAAGGAGCUGCAGUGAUGACACCCCUUCAGCUUUGUCUAACUCAGUGAUUCCCAAAUCUCUUUGGCCCCAGCAGCCCAUUUUCAUUGCAAGAUCCAUCAACAGGCCUCAGGUCUCCAAGUUGGUAUUCACAGGCUGUCUGAGCAGUGCUCCUUUUUUUUUUUUUAAUUUCUUUUUGAGAUAGGGUCUCACUCUGUCACCCAAGCUGCAGUGCAGUGGCACAAUCUCAGCUCACUGCAACCCCCACCUCCCAGGCUCAAGCAAUCCUCCCACCUCAGUCCCCCAUCACCACCCAGUAGUUGGGAC
RNAcentral lists this long non-coding RNA (1828 nucleotides) under Homo sapiens (human). RNAcentral describes it as "HSALNT0379415". The record is from RNAcentral. Lineage: Eukaryota; Metazoa; Chordata; Mammalia; Primates; Hominidae.